Long non-coding RNA from Dreissena polymorpha, 693 nucleotides. RefSeq lists it as uncharacterized. The record is from RefSeq and is a predicted model, not a curated record. The transcript has 3 exons. NCBI's taxonomy places the organism in Eukaryota, Metazoa, Mollusca, Bivalvia, Myida, Dreissenidae.
UGCAACACCAGUGUGGCCAUACCACGUGGUUUGUGACGUCAUUUUGGCUAGCACGCUAAGUAGAAAUUUGUCAACAUUGGCCCCGCUUAGAAAUUUCAAAUCCACAUACACAUGAUGACGACCGAAGAGCGAUAUAUUUGUGCCAUAUGCGCCAGAGGGUACAAGCACAGGCGCAAUUUGGUUUACCAUGAAAGAACAAACGCUGGGAUGUUACCCUUUUAACUGUUGCGGCGUUGGGUUUUCAUCAAGACGACAAUUACAAAGAUACAGGUGCAAUGUACACGGUGACGGAAAAACUAUCUUUGCCUUUAUUGUGGAAAAGAAUUCGCAACGAAAGUAGAUUUAGAUGCCCACUCUGCCCGGGAACAGCGCACUCGAGAGAUCGAGUGCGAGAUAUGCAACCACAAGGCCACAACACGGGCUCAUCUCCGAGAACAUCUCAAAACACACAGCGAGGAAUAAACACACGUUUGCCAUGUGUGCAAAGCCGCCUAUAAACAUAUAAGUUCACUGUAUAGGCACUAUGGGCAAAAGCACAAAUGACGUGUAUACAGUGGUUUUACCUGUUUGUGAUUUAUUUGUGAUUUACCCGUGAUUUAUUUGUGAUUUAUCCGUGAUUGAAUUGUUGCGAUAAAAGCAUAAUCAUCAAAUCUCAAGCAUAAUUAACAUUUGAACCGUAUCUGUUUAUACGAU